Molecule: ribosomal RNA, 400 nt
Filed under: uncultured bacterium
Lineage: Bacteria
Description: bacterial SSU rRNA
Rfam family: Bacterial small subunit ribosomal RNA
Source: RNAcentral
UGAGUAAUGUAUGAGCAACCUGCCUUCCAGAGGGGGACAACAGUUGGAAACGACUGCUAAUACCGCAUAAUGUAUUUUGAGGGCAUCCUCGGGAUACCAAAGGAGCAAUCCGCUGAAAGAUGGGCUCAUAUCUGAUUAGUUAGUUGGCAGGGUAACGGCCUACCAAGACUGCGAUCAGUAGCCGGACUGAGAGGUUGAACGGCCACAUUGGGACUGAGAUACGGCCCAGACUCCUACGGGAGGCAGCAGGUGGGGAAUAUUGGGCAAUGGGCGAAAGCCUCGACCCAGCAACGCCGCGUGAAGGAAGAAGGUCUUCGGAUUGUAAACUUCUUUUAUGAGGGACGAAGGACGUGACGGUACCUCAUGAAUAAGCCACGGCUAACUACGUGCCAGCCGCCGC